This 245-nucleotide ribosomal RNA is filed under the name uncultured bacterium. Its description in RNAcentral is "partial 16S ribosomal RNA". It matches the Rfam family "Bacterial small subunit ribosomal RNA", at positions 1247 to 1500 of the family's 1533-position model. The record is from RNAcentral.
AUGCUACCGGGCGACCGGAUGCGGAUCUCGAAAGCCUGUCCCAGUUCGGACUGGAGUCUGCAACCCGACUCCACGAAGUUGGAUUCGCUAGUAAUCGCGCAUCAGCCAUGGCGCGGUGAAUACGUUCCCGGGCCUUGUACACACCGCCCGUCAAGCCAUGGGAGCCGGGGGCGCCUGAAGUCCGGGACCGCGAGGACCGGCCUAGGGCGAAACUGGUAACUGGGGCUAAGUCGUAACAAGGUAUC